GGGAUGGUUUGUCUUGCCCAGAAAUCGCAAAUUUCAAAGUACGAUUGUGGAGAAUCACGAGGCCAGAGAAAAGCUUGACGGCAUAUUCUGCAAUCUCCUCAGUUUCAUAUUCUGCAAAUGCGUAUCCUUUGGGUCUAUCAGUUUCCUUGUCUCGAGGAACGUACAAAUCCACCACCCGCCCAGCUUGGAUUAGAAUAUCAUACAAAACCCUAUCGCUCACCCUCUCAUCCAAAUUACCUACGUAAACGGUGGAACUAGUGUUUCCAGACAUGGUCAUUAAGCUUUGGUUCUGGCUCAGGCGAAACCACAGAAAACCUA
RNAcentral lists this unclassified non-coding RNA (318 nucleotides) under Hevea brasiliensis (rubber tree). Lineage: Eukaryota; Viridiplantae; Streptophyta; Magnoliopsida; Malpighiales; Euphorbiaceae. The record is from RNAcentral.